AGGGAGGGAGGGGGUGUUGGAGUUUUAAGCUACGAACAGUUUCCUCUUCUUUUUUUUUUCCCGGGAAGGAAAAUUAAACCCACUCUCCCCGCCGUCUCCAUCCUAAGAAGGCCCAGUCAGAGGAUGCUUGAAGAGGUCUCACUCCGGUCUCCCCUCGGCCCGCAGAAGCUGCCUCCUCGGCACUGACUGGAGAGGCCUGGGAAGGCAGGCCUAGGGUAGAGCUCUCAGAGCCUUGGGCUGCUUCCCGCCAGUCGGCCUUAGGGCCAGGCUCCGCGCUGCGGGGGACUGCGGGAGGCUGCGCAAGCCUCCGGGGGACCCGGCUGAGCCAGAAAGGCGGGGGACCAGGGGAGCUGUGACUCUUGGGGAAGGAGGGUCAACCAGCAUAUCCCUGCUCCAAGCGAACUAAGGCCUGAUUUCUUCUCGCUCCUCCCGGUCUCUCUCCAGCCUUUAGGAGCUAAAAAAGGGCAUGGGUUUCAGUCCAAGUUCUGAAAUUUACGCACACACCUAACCUUAGGCAAAUGACUUCAUUUCCCUCAGCGAGUUCUGAUCUCUCCAGAGGGGGACAUCCCCUUCACAUGGGUGUGAUGAAUGAAAGACCAUGGAUGUAAAAUACCUGGAAGGCAGCAGGCACUAAGCAAAUUCUUUCAUUGCUCCCACUUCUCCCUCUCCAUCUCCUUAAUAAAAACUUUCCCACUCUGAGGCUUCAACAAAGUUCUUAAAGGCCACAGGCCCAUUCUCUAAGCACUGGCUGCGCCGCGCCAGAGACCAGCUACUGACCAGCACCCACCCAGCUGCCUGGCUGCACCACUUCUCCACAGACCAACAGCCUGGCCUACACAUCCUAGCUCCACGGGCACCCAGGCCCCAGACUUGAAGCUCAGCCUAGACUCUCUUGGGGACUCACGGGCCAUACCCAGGUGUGUGGUGAGGCUGGAGUUAGAAAAUAAAAAGUGACUGUGGAGAAAAACAGAACGAACAAGUCAAUUAGAGUCCCAUCCGCUUUGGAGGUGGGUCGAUCUGAAGGGACUUGCUUGCCAGGAGGAGGUAAGCGGCUGGCGGGAAUCUGUGCAGUUUAUCCCACACCAGAGCACCAAGUGGAGGCAGCACAAAAUCCUGCUUUCUACGCACCGGACGUAACUUUUAGACAUAAAUGCAUGUGUGCUUGUAAUGCCCCCGCACAGGCACUCCUGUUCAUGUGUGCAAACCCACACGUUCACGUCCAUUGGCAAAAACACGGCCAGCGGGAAGGUAAAGCUGGGGUCUACGGGUGCAGCCAAGGGUCCGGUGCCAGGCGGAGGGAGGCAUCUCUAAAGCGGUGAUAGCACAAUGACAUGUUAUAGUACAAUCUCACGCUCAAGUGGCUCUACCUAAGUCCCUGUAUGCACUUUCCAGGAGGCCAUGUUUUGCAUAUUUGCAAAAAAAUUCUUCAAGUGUGUGUGUACACGCUGCACAUACACAGAUGCCCCAACGUGAGGGAAAGACCAGAAACCCAAAGACGCGCGUGCGCGUGUGUUCACACAGACUUGGGCUUUGGCGCCUACACCCGGCCUGCACCCGGGCACGCGGACGCCUACACAGGCAUGUUUUACUGACGCAUCUGGGGCACUUUCUUUCAAAGAAAGUAGGGAAUGAAAAUUUAAUCUGGGAGUCACCGGGGUUCAUCUGGAGGUCGCCCAAGGAGUAGGAAAAAUUGUGGCAACGCUGGAGCGUUUGUCCUUGGUGUAGCUCCGAGCCCCGGCUGGAUGCACGCAAUAUGUUUUCGAACACUCAAGGGGCUGCCUCAAGAGCUGGAGGUUUGGGGAGAGGAGCGCUCGGUAACUCUUGCCGCGGGCUUCCCAGGAAACGUGGAAACACACCCUGCGGCUCUUGACUCCCCCCAGCCGUGGAAGCACACGGUUUCGUCGCCACCUCUCUGACCAGCAGCCCACACCCAGCGCUGACCGGCGGCACAUUCUCCCGCAGUCAGGAUACCCGCCGGGCGCAUCCGCCCGUUUCUCUCUCCGCGUCAGGUUGGGACGCGCUCGGGUCCGCUAGAGGCUCAAACGCAUCUCCCGCCGCGGGGCGCGAGCUAGGUGCUCGGCCCCGGGUUCAGAGGCCCUUAACUUUGCUGAUGUCCCCCAGCGGCGGGGGUACGUGGGGCAACCGCUAAGCCCUGUCCGCGGUGGCUGAACAAGGAGAGAAACAGGCUGUAAACACACGUCCUGACACGCAGGGAUGUUGCUCUUGGAGAAUGUGAAGACAGUUUGCUUCUUGACAAGCGAGCGAGCGGGCGCCCAGAUUUUUUCAGCCUCUCCGGAGUCUCCCCCGAGGGAAAGGCAGGCAGACAAACCACCAGAUUUGGGAGCCACCAGGGAAGGAUUCCGCAAGGGAGAGCCACCCUCCUUGGCCCCAGACCUGCUCGCCUUUGGGCACUGGCAGUAGAUGACCUGAAACUCUGAGGGUGGUGCUGUGGAUUGGGGUGGGGGGGUGGGGUGGGGAGAAGUCUCUUGGAUAAUAACUGCCAAGAAGAAAAAGGCAAAAACAACGUUUCUUCUCUGCCUUGAAAGGACUGUGUUCUUUAAGCUGUUGGCUGCAGUCAGAGGCCAGUUGCCUAACUCUGUUCUCUGAGUGUAAUGUCUCCUGUCCUCGGGGUUGCACCAUUCAGCAAAUUAUACUCCUUGCUCAUCGAAGUGGAGCUUGCUUAGGGAAGUGAGUGAGUGUGUGAGUGAGUGAGUGUGUAUGUGUGUGUGUGUGUGUGUCCCUCUACUGGGAGGCUGCUACUAGAGGUGCUGGUUACUUGGUCUGGAGAACUGGCUCUUUAAAUUUUAAAAAGGGAGGGAGCAUCGCUGGUUGGACUCCCAGACGCUGCUAUGGUCUGUCUUGACCCUAACUCUAGUUAGAGAAUGGCAGCUUCUGACAAAGCCACCAACGUCUGAAAGUCCACUUCCAGGGUAUCACACGUGCCUCCCAGAAGCCCCCCAGUGGGGUACCCUUCCUGCACUUUCCCUUUCUCUCUCACCUCUGUCUCUUGUGUGAAUGGCAGAAGACUGGUGAUUCCUUGCCACUGUGCAGGAAUGUAGGGUUGUGAACAUCAAGAAAAGAUGGGGUGAAGCUGAGUCACAGGGGUGGCAGAAAGGCCCCACGUCCUCAACAAGGACCCUCUCCCCAGGCCUGUGAGGCUUCAUUCAGCAAAGUGUGUGUGUGGAGGUGUUUUGUGUUGGUGUGAGAGGCUGCCAGUCAGCGGCAAGUGAGCUCGGGCACGGCUACCUCUUUAUGAAAUCCACUCAGUGCCUUGGUCACACCUUACAGAAGAACUGCUGGCCACCACUCUGGACAGCGGAGCGUUACUUGUUUCAAAAAGGAAUCCCAUAUUUGUGGACACAUUAGGUGGCUUGGCCCGUCUCAGGCAGAAAGGAGCCCAGUUCCUCCUCCUCUUCUCCCUGCAGCAAUCUGAACAAUUCUGCAACUGCCUCCCUGGGCGUCAGCUGAGCAGGUUGGGGAACUAACCAGGGCCCUCUCUCUAGGGCCCUGUUAAAUGCACUGAACUUAAAAUGAAACACGAAGUGUGAAUUUCAGGUUUGAAUAUGAUGCAUCAGGAAACGUGGAGGUUGGCAGCCCUUUCCCUCCUCCCUGCCUUUCGGUAGCAGGUAUUAAUAUUGUAUUAAAUGUUAUGAGAAAGUAAGGGCUGAGGAGAGGAAUGUGCUCAGAUGCAAUUUUGUCAAGGUUUUUAUCUGUGAUUAUGAUUCCAGAUGUAGAAACUCCCGGAGGAGGGAAGCGAGGGGCUGCCGGCGUGUGACAUGUGUUUUAAGGUGUUUGGCAGUGUUUCUCAAAGUGGUGACAAAAUGUUCAAUUUUAUUACAGGGCAUCGGUAAAAAAAAAUAUGAAUACUAGGUCAGAGAUUGUUCACCUCAGCACAAGGAUUUACCAUUAUUGAUUAGGGUGGGGAAAGUUUGUAUCUGGGUCUUGCUUAAAUCACACUGUCAACAAUGUAAAUCUGUCAGAUCAGAUUAUUCUUAAAGAAGAAUUGUGACAAAAUACACAAUAGCUAAUUGCAUCGUCCCACCUACUAAUUUCUAUGCAAAGAUAUAAACUGCUCUGGACGCCAAAAAUGGGGUAAAUAUUGCAAAAAUAUGUCAUUUUUCUCAGCUGGUAUAACUACAGACAUUUCCUUGAGGGUAAUGUCUUUUUAAUCGAACCCAGAAACUACCCGGUCCUAGAAGAGCCAUUUUGCUAAUUUUGCUACCCGGCUGCCUUUGAGGUCCAAGCACAAAUAACAGCAAUACGUUUCCUCACGCAGGGAACCAUGCUUUGCUGAAAGGAGAAUCAGGAAGAUUUUGCAUGAAAAAAAGUGGGGAUGGAGAGGAAGCAGCUGAACUCUGGACUAGUUGACAAUUCUUGGACCUACGCGCACUUGAGACUGGAAAAUUUUCCUGCCACAGUCUUUUAUUCCAAGGCAUCUCUGCCAUCCCUCUCGGACAGCAGGACACCCCUAAACUCUAUUUCUAAGCAAAGGUUCCUCAUAAACUUUUUAUGAGCUUCACAUACACUAAUUGACGCGAGUGCCCAGCCAGCGCUGACUAGACUGGAGGUAGGUUUGGUAAACAUUUUCACAGAACAAAAAGAAGGAUUUUUGGCUAAAGUUGUAAGACUUGGCUCCCCCCUGGGUGCCUGAUCAGAGGACGACAGGCUCUGCACACUCGCUGGAGACACUGCUGCACAGAUCACCUCGAUCACCUCGUCCCUAGCACACCCGCUACACCUCCCAGCCCAGUCCUGGAAGCCCACACGUCUUCAGCCCCAACCUCUCCUUAAUCUGGGCUAAAGAAUGUCCAUUUUUAGCUUCCCAGCCGCUGGCACUAGUUUACCAUCACAAAAGACACUAACUAGGUUCCUAGCACAAACUGCACCUUCCUUGGAAGUAAGAAGGGUUCCUCUCCUAGGAGUGAUGCAGGACGUGGAUAUUUCGAAGGGGAACAGUGAGAUUGCAGGGGAGGGGGAGGGAGUGGCCACCAUCACUCACCCUUCAUGUUCAGCUGGACCUUUCCUCUACCCCAGCCCAACUUUCCACUGGCCGGAUUAGCACAUCUCAACUGCUCUUUGGGAAGGCAGCAUUGUCUCCUUAGGUGAGGAACAGUCAUUUCCCACAUUUGCUUCAGCUGGAGCCCAGCCCAUCGCCCCUCCCCCCAUUUUAUUCUUCCAUUAAUUAAAACAACUAAUGUCCCAUCGAUUAUCUCUGCAUGAAUGAAAAUCAUCAUGGGCCCUUGCAGGUAUAUGGGAAAUUCUGUGUGCUUAAGUCUUCACACUUUGAUUUUCUAUAGACUCAUUUUCUCAGGCAUAAAGAAAUUCAAACAAAACAAAAAAACAAAAUCUCCUGACACCUUGCAAUAAAGCCCAGAGACCAGUGGUAAUGAGCUUGUAUGAUCUCUUGCAGGAAGAAAUGUUCAGAUGGUCCCCUUUUAUAACUGGAUUGUACUCUCUGGUAAAGGAUUCUAGACAGUUAAGGGAAACACUGAUAGGUCACCAGACCCACAUUUGGAAUUUGAGCUUGUGUCUAGUCAGAUGAGCUCAUCCAAAUUUUACUUUUAAGCUACUGUGUCAAUCUUUGAAAGUGAAAAAAAAAUGCAGGGGACAGUCAGCUCGAUUUGGAAUUUCCCAGCUAGUUGGCCAUUUCAGCUUGCAUCUCCGUUUCUGGGGGCCGCCAUAAUUAGAGCGAUCUAUUUUGCAUUUACUUCUCUUUGCAAGCACUACAUUAUUCACUCUUUCCUGUGCUUAUUAAACAGUGCCACCUGCACCAAAUUCAACAAAGCUCUUCCAUCAGUCAGCUCAGCUAAGGAUCCCAGACCAUAUAUUAUCAUUAAUUGAGGCUCAAUUGAAUAGUUGAAGAUAGAAGCAUGAGUAAAAGCAACACAUUUUCUAGGGCCCGUUUAUAAAAAUGUUUUAAGCAAAAAACAACCAUUUAUUCCUCUGACUGUCAUCUUUUUACAAACUCAUCUCAUUCUCUCUGUACAGUCAUUCAAGCAGCCAUUAGCAAGUUUUUUAAUUAAUGAACUAUUCCCUGCACGUCACCAAGGUGCCUCCAGUACAAAUGUCUCCCUUCAUAAGGUACUAGCAAACGCAGUCAAUAUUUGGUCACUCAAAGCCUUCGAAGCUGACCACCUCAAUAACCCUAAUGCCAUCAAAAGGAUCUGAAGAGCCAGAGACAAGUCUGGGAAGCAGAGGACAAUUUUUCAGGAACCUAGCCAUGGAUAAUCCGAAUCCAGAGGAAGGGAGUGGCAGAAGGAAGGGAACCAGAGAUGGAGAGGGGAGAGGCAGAAAAUGAAUGUAGACAGAAAUCAGUGGCUAAAGAAAGGCAAAGUUUCUAGCAAAGAUGGGACCAACUCCCAGCUUCAGUUAUGUUAUAACAAACUCCCCAUCUACAUGCUGAUGAUUUAUACAUUA
Phyllostomus discolor (pale spear-nosed bat) is the source of this 6417-nucleotide long non-coding RNA. RefSeq lists it as uncharacterized. The transcript has 2 exons. The record is from RefSeq and is a predicted model, not a curated record. Lineage: Eukaryota; Metazoa; Chordata; Mammalia; Chiroptera; Phyllostomidae.